AGCUUUAUAGUCAAAAAUGAUAUUAAAUUGCAAAUUUAAAGGUAAAUAUAAUUUUAAAGCUU
This 62-nucleotide transfer RNA is filed under the name Omosita colon. RNAcentral's name for it is "tRNA-Cys". The record is from RNAcentral. Lineage: Eukaryota; Metazoa; Arthropoda; Insecta; Coleoptera; Nitidulidae.